ACACUGGCAAUAUUUCUUCACAUAUUACACACAGUACAGCAGCAUCGAGAAAAAUUGGAACAAAAAAGAAAGAAAUAGGAAGCGGUAAAAUCAGAAUUCACAAGAGAACACCUGGUAAGGCAAUCGCCAAGCUUCAGAUUUAGAAAAACACAUGUCAUCCAGAGCAUCGCUCCGGCACCACCUGACUUGGUGUUCUGGCUGCAUUCGGAUCUGGACUCCAUUUCACCGUAGUCACGUUUCGGGUCGACCCGAUUAGGGUUCCUACUUAUGGCGUCGGAGGCUCUGCUGUUCAACCAGGGACAGGAGGUCCCGGCGAAGGCG
Molecule: long non-coding RNA, 321 nt
Filed under: Salvia miltiorrhiza (redroot sage)
Lineage: Eukaryota; Viridiplantae; Streptophyta; Magnoliopsida; Lamiales; Lamiaceae
Description: long non-coding RNA (SMIL_LNC011543)
Source: RNAcentral